GGAUCCUUAGCUCAGUUGGUUAGUAGCACCUGACUCAUAAUCAGGGGGUCGUAGGUUCAAGCCCUACAGGAUCCACCA
This 78-nucleotide transfer RNA is filed under the name Alistipes sp. RNAcentral describes it as "tRNA-Ile". It matches the Rfam family "tRNA". From Rfam's summary of the family: Transfer RNA (tRNA) molecules are approximately 80 nucleotides in length. The record is from RNAcentral. Lineage: Bacteria; Pseudomonadati; Bacteroidota; Bacteroidia; Bacteroidales; Rikenellaceae.